Molecule: ribosomal RNA, 491 nt
Filed under: uncultured bacterium
Lineage: Bacteria
Description: bacterial SSU rRNA
Rfam family: Bacterial small subunit ribosomal RNA
Source: RNAcentral
GGCUCAGAUUGAACGCUGGCGGCAUGCCUUACACAUGCAAGUCGAACGGCAGCACGGGAGCAAUCCUGGUGGCGAGUGGCGAACGGGUGAGUAAUAUAUCGGAACGUACCUUUCAGUGGGGGAUAACGUAGCGAAAGUUACGCUAAUACCGCAUAUUCUGUGAGCAGGAAAGCAGGGGAUCUUAGGACCUUGCGCUGAUUGAGCGGCCGAUAUCAGAUUAGCUAGUUGGUGAGGUAAAGGCUCACCAAGGCGACGAUCUGUAGCGGGUCUGAGAGGAUGAUCCGCCACACUGGAACUGAGACACGGUCCAGACUCCUACGGGAGGCAGCAGUGGGGAAUUUUGGACAAUGGGGGCAACCCUGAUCCAGCCAUGCCGCGUGAGUGAAGAAGGCCUUCGGGUUGUAAAGCUCUUUCGGCCGGGAAGAAAUCGCAUGGGUUAAUACCCUGUGCGGAUGACGGUACCGGCAUAAGAAGCACCGGCUAACUACGUG